Molecule: transfer RNA, 74 nt
Filed under: Anaerolineaceae bacterium 4572_5.1
Lineage: Bacteria; Bacillati; Chloroflexota; Anaerolineae; Anaerolineales; Anaerolineaceae
Also listed under: 1 other name
Description: tRNA-Arg
Rfam family: tRNA
About the family: Transfer RNA (tRNA) molecules are approximately 80 nucleotides in length.
Source: RNAcentral
GCCCUCGUAGCUCAAUUGGAUAGAGCACCGGACUUCUAAUCCGAAGGUUGCAGGUUCGAGUCCUGCCGGGGGUG